RNAcentral lists this ribosomal RNA (1039 nucleotides) under Aspergillus parasiticus. Its description in RNAcentral is "SSU rRNA". It matches the Rfam family "Eukaryotic small subunit ribosomal RNA", at positions 46 to 1095 of the family's 1831-position model. Lineage: Eukaryota; Fungi; Ascomycota; Eurotiomycetes; Eurotiales; Aspergillaceae. The record is from RNAcentral.
AAGCCUGCAUGUCUAAGUAUAAGCACUUUAUACUGUGAAACUGCGAAUGGCUCAUUAAAUCAGUUAUCGUUUAUUUGAUAGUACCUUACUACAUGGAUACCUGUGGUAAUUCUAGAGCUAAUACAUGCUAAAAACCUCGACUUCGGAAGGGGUGUAUUUAUUAGAUAAAAAACCAAUGCCCUUCGGGGCUCCUUGGUGAUUCAUAAUAACUUAACGAAUCGCAUGGCCUUGCGCCGGCGAUGGUUCAUUCAAAUUUCUGCCCUAUCAACUUUCGAUGGUAGGAUAGUGGCCUACCAUGGUGGCAACGGGUAACGGGGAAUUAGGGUUCGAUUCCGGAGAGGGAGCCUGAGAAACGGCUACCACAUCCAAGGAAGGCAGCAGGCGCGCAAAUUACCCAAUCCCGACACGGGGAGGUAGUGACAAUAAAUACUGAUACGGGGCUCUUUUGGGUCUCGUAAUUGGAAUGAGUACAAUCUAAAUCCCUUAACGAGGAACAAUUGGAGGGCAAGUCUGGUGCCAGCAGCCGCGGUAAUUCCAGCUCCAAUAGCGUAUAUUAAAGUUGUUGCAGUUAAAAAGCUCGUAGUUGAACCUUGGGUCUGGCUGGCCGGUCCGCCUCACCGCGAGUACUGGUCCGGCUGGACCUUUCCUUCUGGGGAACCUCAUGGCCUUCACUGGCUGUGGGGGGAACCAGGACUUUUACUGUGAAAAAAUUAGAGUGUUCAAAGCAGGCCUUUGCUCGAAUACAUUAGCAUGGAAUAAUAGAAUAGGACGUGCGGUUCUAUUUUGUUGGUUUCUAGGACCGCCGUAAUGAUUAAUAGGGAUAGUCGGGGGCGUCAGUAUUCAGCUGUCAGAGGUGAAAUUCUUGGAUUUGCUGAAGACUAACUACUGCGAAAGCAUUCGCCAAGGAUGUUUUCAUUAAUCAGGGAACGAAAGUUAGGGGAUCGAAGACGAUCAGAUACCGUCGUAGUCUUAACCAUAAACUAUGCCGACUAGGGAUCGGGCGGUGUUUCUAUGAUGACCCGCUCGGCACCUUACGAGA